Long non-coding RNA from Maylandia zebra (zebra mbuna), 348 nucleotides. RefSeq lists it as uncharacterized. Lineage: Eukaryota; Metazoa; Chordata; Actinopteri; Cichliformes; Cichlidae. The record is from RefSeq and is a predicted model, not a curated record.
UGCAUGUGUGUGUGUGUUAACAGCUGUCUGUACGAGGACCGGUGUGUGUUUUAGACCUUGUAGCUCGUCGCCAUAGGAGCUUUAUAUAGCUGUUUAAGAGAGCUCAUCAGUGGCUUCAUCCAAACACCAUCACGCAGCCUCAUUUCUCUGAAUCCACCAGCCCACAAUUACAGGCCAUGUGCUGAGACCACAAAGUGGAGGGAUUCCGAGUGGAGACCUGCACUAACCCUCUGAAUGACUGGAACCACGCAGGUCCAGACCAGGGUCUGGAAAAGUCUAAUGAAGCUGGUGCAUGCAAUGAACAUGCACCUCUGAGUCUGAAGGGAUAUUACACACCAGCAAGUAAAA